Molecule: long non-coding RNA, 1559 nt
Organism: Cyprinus carpio (common carp)
Lineage: Eukaryota; Metazoa; Chordata; Actinopteri; Cypriniformes; Cyprinidae
Source: Ensembl
AACAAUGGCCUGACUGUUUCUCUGGCAAUAUGCAUGGCCACAUCCUUCAGCUGUGUGUAAUCCAAGCUGUAGCCUCUUUUAUCCAUCUAGAACCCAAGAAUGCUACUUUGUUACGAGGCAGUGAGGUUCACUUUAACUGCAGCACUGAUGAAUCCUGGGAUGUCAUGACGUGGCUGUUGGGUGGAAGAACAGUCCUCACCAUCUCAGUGGAACAUGGUCCUCUAGGCAGAGAUGAGCAUGUGUCCACAGUCAAUCACUCCACCUCAUCUCUCUCCAUGUGGGAGUUAGUGCUGAUGAACGCUUCCUUCAGCUCCAUUGUACAGGAAGUCAUAUGUGAACUGCUGCCUACAAGACUUGGCAGAUCAUCAUCAGCCCUGUUUGUACAAGAAAAAGGAAAUGUCAGGAUUUUGGAGAGUGAUCUGUCCGUUCAAGAGGGGAUGCUUGUCACCUUCCAUUGCCAAGCGAGUGGCUGGUAUCCGGACCCUUCAGUGUCCUGGGUGGUCAGUGGCACCACUGUGGACAGAGGCGACUACAACACCAGCAGUCUCCAGGACCCCAAUGGCCUUUUCAACUCCACCAGUGUGCUUCAGAUAAAAGCAGAGACAAGCAGCUCAGUGGAGUGUUGGGCAUCUGUGUCUGCCGCUGUAGCCCACCAAAGCAACAGUGUCAAGCUGACUGUAGUGGCACCGAAAGCUCCACAGGACUACACAGUUGUGAUCGCCGUGAUAGUGUCUGUGUGUACGAUCAUUCUGCUGGCAGUCCUCAUCCUGAUCUUGUACUAUAGAAAAAAACUGUCAAAAUCAAGCUCUGGAAAUAAAGUCAGUUCCUCCUCGUGGACUGUCAAUUUAAGCAGACGGAGGAGGUCUGUUGCUGAUGAAACCAGAGGAAAAGUUAACCCAGGAUACCAUGCCGAAGACGUAACAAGUUCAGGACACCAUGACCUCAGGAAUAGAGCUGACAGCACGAUAAACAUCAUCAGCCCUCCACGGGUUCCUGAUAUUGUCAUUUUCAGCACUCAAAAUCAGAAAGAGGAAGAUUUUUCUAACCUCUACUGUAAGGGAGCAAAGACAGUCCGCCGGGUCACCACUGUUUGACCUCAGGGUCGACCUCACAUAAACCUCCCACUGUAAGAAAGAAACAAAGGUCAUAUAUGCUGAAAAUGAAGAUGCAAUGGCUUGCAUAUCUAGAGGAUGGGGAUCAUCACAUGAGACCUUCAGUAAUGUCAACUACAUGCAGCAUUCACAGUCAUGAUUGCUGUUAUAUCAGUCACGUCAACAUUGUAUAUGCAUGUUUUUUUUUGUUUUUUUUUUGUUACUUCAAAAAAUGUUAUGUAAUAUUUUUGCACUAUUUUGUAAUGGUGUUCCAUCUUAUUCAAGUGGAAAAAUGUUUAAGUUAUUUACAGUAUUCGUAUCUGUAUUGGUAUAGAGAGCUGCGGUGAUGACAUAUUUUUGUAGGCUAACCUGGAAGUCAGCAUCACCCUGUCUCCCUAGGGUCUUUCCAUUGGCUUUUGGAUUAUUACAGAAAAUAAACUCUGUGACCAACAAAGAGUUUGAUUCUUA